RNAcentral lists this long non-coding RNA (892 nucleotides) under Helianthus annuus (common sunflower). Its description in RNAcentral is "hypothetical non coding rna". The record is from RNAcentral. Lineage: Eukaryota; Viridiplantae; Streptophyta; Magnoliopsida; Asterales; Asteraceae.
AUGGCAGUUGAUGAUAUAGUUUGAUUGAUAAAUUAUGUGACUGAUAGAUGUUUAUAAGGUCUUUUAAUAAUGUUUAUAAGCUCACGGUUUUGUUAAAAACUAGGACUCACUCAGUAUAACUCACUUUUAUUAUGUAUGUCAUGUAAUUGAUAAACGGUGGAAUGAAAGUUGCUCCCCUCCCGAGCUGGCAUCCUAUGGAUUUUAAUUACUUAAAGCACAUCAUGUAUUAAAGUUUUUAAUGUAACGACAAUUUACGUUUUUCACUGCAAUUCAAAUGAUUUUACCGAUUAAGAACUAAGUCUAAAUAUGCAAAUCCUACUGUGAGGUCCCUGAGGUUGGGGUCUUACAUUUAUACUUAUCACAUUAUUGUUGGGUUCUUACAUGUGUACUUGUCACAUUAUUGUAUUAUGUAAUUGUUUUUUAGUUUGAUGACCAUUGCAAUAAGUUUUGAUGUGUCAUGUUUCACUUACCUUAUAAAGGGCAAUCAUUACUAGGGUGUUCACGAUUCGGUUUAAACUGUAAAACUGUCUAAGCCGGUCAUCAGUUUUGUUUGCCGAUCGUUUUUUAGUUUUCGGUUGGUCAAUUUCAAAAUUUUCAAACGAGGCUUGGUUGGCAGUUUACACUUAAAACCGGACCAUUGGAUAAAAAAAAACGUUAAUAAAGGUUUGACCUAAAAACUGUCAAAACCGAACCAUGACACACCUAAUCAUUACGAUGAUGCAUUCAAAAAUAUAGGUUUGAUGUACACACUUGAAGUUGUUUUUAUAAAGAUCGAAAAAAUAACGGAACGAGCUUUGGAAAAAAAUUAAACAUAACAACGGAAUAAUGAUACAAUAAUUCUUAAUUUUUUUUACUCUUUUACAUGCAAUAACAUGACUCAUUGUGUAAUUAU